Molecule: ribosomal RNA, 347 nt
Filed under: Adalia decempunctata
Lineage: Eukaryota; Metazoa; Arthropoda; Insecta; Coleoptera; Coccinellidae
Description: partial 12S ribosomal RNA
Source: RNAcentral
UAGAAUGUAAAUUAAUAAACUAAGUGAUUAAUAGUUAAGUUCUUUAAAGCUAAAUGAUUUGGCGGUAUUUUAAACUUUUCAGAGGAACCUGUUCUGUAAUCGAUAAUCCACGAUUUAAUUAACUUUAUUUAGAAAUUUUUAUAUCGUUGUUUUUAAAUAUUUUAAAAGAAUUAAAUAUUUAAAAUUUUUUAUUAGAAAUUAAAUCAAAUCAAGGUGAAGUUUAUAUUAAAGAAGAAAUGGGUUACAAUAAAAUUUACUUAUGGAUUUAAAAUUGAAAAUUUUUUAUAAAAUUGGAUUUGAAAGUAAUUAGAUUUAUUUUUUUUUAAUGAGUUAGCACUAAAAUAUGU